RNAcentral lists this ribosomal RNA (745 nucleotides) under uncultured Tomentella. RNAcentral's name for it is "eukaryotic LSU rRNA". The stretch from base 186 to 340 matches the Rfam family "5.8S ribosomal RNA". Lineage: Eukaryota; Fungi; Basidiomycota; Agaricomycetes; Thelephorales; Thelephoraceae. The record is from RNAcentral.
CGGGUUGUUGCUGGCCCCCAAACCGGGCACGUGCACGCCCUGUUUACGCAUCCACUCACACCUGUGCACCCUCUGUAGUUCUGUGGACCGGGAGACGUCGUCUUCCUUCCGUGGCUCUACGUCUUUACACACAUGCCGUAGCGAAGUCUCAUGGAAUGUUUUUCGCGUUUAACGCAAUACAAUACAACUUUCAGCAACGGAUCUCUUGGCUCUCGCAUCGAUGAAGAACGCAGCGAAAUGCGAUAAGUAAUGUGAAUUGCAGAAUUCAGUGAAUCAUCGAAUCUUUGAACGCACCUUGCGCCCCUUGGUUAUUCCUCGGGGCAUGCCUGUUUGAGUAUCAUGAACACCUCAACUCUCGUGGUCUUCCAUGAUGAGCUUGGACUUUGGGGGUUUGCUGGCCCUGUGGCCGGCUCCUCUCAAACGAAUCAGCUUGCCAGUGUUUGGCGGCGUCACGGGUGUGAUAACCAUCUACGCUUGCGAUCGCCUGCCAGAUAACCCUCAGCGAUGAAGGUUCAUUGGGGCUCACAAAAGUCUCUCCACGGCGAGGACGAAUUUUGAAUGUUCGAUCUCAAAUCAGGUAGGACUACCCGCUGAACUUAAGCAUAUCAAUAAGCGGAGGAAAAGAAACUAACAAGGAUUCCCCUAGUAACUGCGAGUGAAGCGGGAAGAGCUCAAAUUUAAAAUCUGGCGUGCCUCCGGUCGUCCGAAUUGUAGUCUGGAGAAGCGUUUUCCGUGCUGGACCGUG